Helianthus annuus (common sunflower) is the source of this 427-nucleotide long non-coding RNA. RefSeq lists it as uncharacterized. The transcript has 3 exons. Lineage: Eukaryota; Viridiplantae; Streptophyta; Magnoliopsida; Asterales; Asteraceae. The record is from RefSeq and is a predicted model, not a curated record.
CUAACAAUCAGCCGUCACCAACAACAGCUCUCGUCUCUCUCCUUGGUACAAACCUAAAAAUUCAGCCAUCAAAUCCUUAUCUCCACCAACACUUCACCAGCGAUCGCUUCAUGGCUUCAUCGCUUGACCAGAAAAGCACUAAAGCGCACGAUUCAUGGAAAACACUCGCCUCAUGUCAUAUAAGGCGCAGCAACCCAAAGAAAAGCAUCAUCAUGUCUGUUCUCUUGCUUUGCAUCGUUGGUUCAAGUCUUAUGACUUGUAUUGCUUACCAAACUAAAGAAAAAUGCCGGGCAUAUGGUGCUGAUUUGUGUGGUUAUUCUUUUGAUCAUGCACCAAGUGUCUGUGAAGCUUACGGGUGCAGCGGAGAUUGCAUCCGAAUUGUGCCGUUGAAUCAAAGAAUAAUAAAAUCACUUUGUGUUGGCAGUUA